Molecule: unclassified non-coding RNA, 422 nt
Filed under: Hevea brasiliensis (rubber tree)
Lineage: Eukaryota; Viridiplantae; Streptophyta; Magnoliopsida; Malpighiales; Euphorbiaceae
Source: RNAcentral
AAAAAAGCUAUAGCUCUCAUGGGUUAUGGUUGCAUUUUCUUCACCAUAAUUGGCUUCUCUGCAUCAUUCCUUCUUUGUUUGCCAAAUUUAAAAAGAUGGCAAAAGCAGCAAAUUGCAGAAAAGAAACUGAGGUUAAUAAAUGAGGCAUUGGAGCAUGCUGAAGAAAGGGCAGCGAGAUUUCAACAAAGGCAUGAUCAGUUAUUAAGCCAGAUAUGCUCACAUUAUUUGUCCCAUCAAGACCUUGAGGAGGCUUUGGCUGCUGCUAGGGCUGCCAUGAAUGAGGCUUUGGAGUUUGUCGUUAGAUUAAGAGAGAUGCAAAUCAAGAUCUUGAUCAAUUUCCCAGAUGAAGCUAAUCUUUCUGUGUUGGAUAGGUCAUGACAUGACUUGGGCAAUAUUUUUUGUAAAUAAAAUCUACAUUUUUG